UACGUAGGGGGCAAGCGUUAUCCGGAUUUACUGGGUGUAAAGGGAGCGUAGACGGCAGCGCAAGCCUGGAGUGAAAGCCCGGGGCCCAACCCCGGGACUGCUUUGGGAACUGCGCGGCUAGAGUACGGGAGGGGCAGGCGGAAUUCCUAGUGUAGCGGUGAAAUGCGUAGAUAUUAGGAGGAACACCGGUGGCGAAGGCGGCCUGCUGGACCGCAACUGACGUUGAGGCUCGAAGGCGUGGGGAGCAAACAGG
Molecule: ribosomal RNA, 253 nt
Filed under: uncultured bacterium
Lineage: Bacteria
Description: partial 16S ribosomal RNA
Rfam family: Bacterial small subunit ribosomal RNA
Source: RNAcentral